UGUGUAACCUGUUGAGAGAUAGAGAUACACCGAUGGGUUUUCAUGUUGUGCUGUCAAUGCAUGAGGUCUGUUUCUAUUUCUCUUUUUGUUGAGCUUUGAUGGAGGACGAUGCCAAUGCUGGAAAGAAGGAGGAGGAGGAGGAAUUUGCCAAGGGUCCUCUAUCCGUUCUGAUGCUUAGUGUCAAGAACAAUACUCAGGUUCUCAUCAACUGCCG
RNAcentral lists this unclassified non-coding RNA (214 nucleotides) under Hevea brasiliensis (rubber tree). Lineage: Eukaryota; Viridiplantae; Streptophyta; Magnoliopsida; Malpighiales; Euphorbiaceae. The record is from RNAcentral.